AUGCGUGCAAAAGACAAAAAAAGGGGUUUUCUUUUUUCUUUUCCUUCUUCUUCUUCCUCCUCGAGCCGUCCCCCCUUCUGCAGUCGUCGUUCGACCUCGGCGCCGCCGCUCGUAGGCACCAGCUCUUCGCCGGUCGUUUCUCUAUUCGUCGAUAGCCGAAGCCGCCGUCGAGCGCACACCAGAAGGCAAAUCUGUUCGCCACUCGACCUGACGCAGAUCGCUCGCCUCGUUCGUUCCAGCCGCGCGUUUCAUUCCAGCCGCGCCGAGCUCUCCUUUCGCCUCUGUUCGUCCGUCGUACGUCAGUGUUUCGUUGAUAGUCGAAGCCCAACGCGCGUCAAAGCUCACCUCGUUCAUUUGCACACCAGAAAGUGUCGGUUGUUACCGAUUCGUGGUUGGUUUCACCUGAUCCUACUGUUUGGGGUAAGUUUCAGUUCCCUUUUGGCAGCUCACUAUCUUUUGGGGUUCUUGGGCCUAUUUGUGAUUGGUUUCAGGAACGUGCGGCGGUGAAGGAAGUUCUCAAGCGGAGUAAGGUCUCGUCUUUUGGACAGUGUAGUAUCCUGAGGUAAGAGUAAUGACAGAUCGGUGGCCGCUAUCCUCAUCAAUCCCGUUACCACCAGUUCAGAAUUAGGAUAGGGCCACGACUCGGACCGUGGCAGGCCCUUCGUUGGAAGCUGGAUACCUACGAGAUUUCAAGAAGUAUGAUCCCCCAAUGUUUAACGGAUCCUUGAAAGACCCCACAAAUACAGAAUUGUGGUUGUCCACUGUUCAGGGGAUCUUCCAGUACAUGAGGUGUCUAGAGAAGCAGAAGUUGCAGUGUGUCGCUUUCGUUUUCAUCGACAAUGCCAAGCGCUGGUGGCACUCGGCUGAGAGAAUGAUAGAAUCCGGUGGAGACCAAGCCACAUGGGAUCAGUUCAAGGAGCAGUUUUAUGAGAAGUACCUCUCUGCUCAUGUGAGGUACAACAAGCAGGCUGUGUUCAUGAACUUGAAGCAGGAAACCAUGACAGUGGAAGAGUAUGAAAAGAAGUUUGACAAAUUGUCUUGUUUUGCCCUGACCUGGUGUCUAUCGAAGCAAAGAGGGUUGAGAGGUUUGUACAAGGACUCCGAGACGGGGUGCGAGGCAUCGUGCAAGCCCUAGAGCCUCCCACUUACGCCACAGCCUUCCGAGCGGCAGCACACAUCGGUUGUCUUUUAGGGAUAGAGUUUCUGAAGUCCCUGACGGAGGAACCAGCCUCCGGCUAGAAGAAAAAGUUUGAGCAAAAAGCUUUGGGACCUCCGUAGAAGGUCCAGAGUACAAGCAGGUCAAUAAGGCAUGCUCAACGACAAGCUACGACUUCAGGAGGAGUUUUGAGGGAAAGGUCGGUAUGCAAGUCUUAUGGGAAACGUCAUUGGGGACGCUAUCUGAUUAGCAUGGGAACAUGCUUCAGAUGUAAGCAGAUAGGGCAUACGACAGAACAAUGCCCUAGUAAUGGUUCCGGAAGUGCGGGGGGUCAGCCCCCGAGUUCGCAUCAGGGUAUUUCAAACCGAUAGCAGCAGCGAGGUCGGGUCUAUGCCACCAGUCGUCGGGAAGCUGAGCACUCGGGAAUAGUGGUGACAGGUACGCUCCUAAUCUUGGGGCACUAUGCCUUGACAUUGUUUGACUCUGACUCGUCCCACUCUUUCAUUUCAUCGUUGUUUGUAAAGCAUGCCAUGUUAGUUUUGGAGCCUUUGGGCUAUGUUUUGUCAGUGUCUACACCGUCGGGAGAAAUUAUGAUAGGCAGUGAAAAGAUAAAAGCAUGUCAGUUAGAAAUAGCAAACCGCACCCUUGAUAUGACUCUGAUAGUAUUACACAUGCAUGAUUUCGAUGUAAUUCUAGGCAUGGAUUGGUUGGCUGCCAACUAUGCUAGUAUAGAUUGUUCUCGUAAGAAGGUGAAUUUCAACCCCCUAAGAGAAGCCAGCUUUAAGUUCAAAGGGGCCGGGAUAGUAGUUUUGCCCAAGGUGAUUUCAGCGAUUAAGGCCAAGAGAUUGACUAGCCAAGGUGUCUGGAGUAUCUUGGCUAGCGUAGUUGACACAAGGGAAACCGAGGUUGAACUAACCUCUGAACCAGUUAUGUGGGAUUAUCCCGAUGUAUUCCCAGAAGAACUCCCAGGAUUGCCUCCACCAAGGGAGAUUGAUUUUACGAUUGAACUGGAGCCAGACACUUCCUAUAUCCAAAGCCCCGUACAGAAUGGCUCCAGCAGAAUUGAAAGAAUUGAAGGUCCAAUUGCAGGAACUGCUUGAUAAAGGGUUCAUACGACCCAGUGUUUCUCCUUGGGGUGCACCAGUGUUGUUUGUGAAGAAAAAGGAUGGGUCGUUACAUUUAUGCAUAGACUACAGGGAGUUGAAUAAGGUGACCAUUAAGAAUAAGUACCCGCUUCCUAAAAUCGAUGACCUAUUUGACCAGCUACAGGCUUCUAUCGUAUUUUCCAAGAUUGACCUACAGUCAGGUUACCAUCAGCUGAGGAUCAGGGACAGUGAUAUUCUGAAGACUGCAUUCCGAUCUAGAUAUGGGCAUUACAAGUUCAUUGUAAAAUGUUUUGGUCUGACCAAUGCUCCAGCGGUAUUCAUGGAUUUGAUGAAUCGGGUGUUCAAGGACUUCCUAGAUGCCUUUGUAAUCGUUAUUAUUGAUGACAUUUUGGUAUACUCCAAGACAGAGGUGGAGCAUAAGGAACAUCUUAGGAAGGUCCUAGGAACACUGUGGGAAAAUAAACUGUAUGCAAAGUUUUCUAAGUGCGAGUUCUGGCUACGGAAAGUGUCCUUCCUUGGGCACGUGGAAGGAUGGGGUUUUAGUGGAUCUAGCUAAGAUUGAGGUCAUUACCAAUUGGCCCCGCCCUACAAUGGUCAGUGAGGUGCAUAGUUUCCUGGGUUUGGUUGGAUACUAUCGUAGGUUUGUAGAGAAUUUCUCCAGCAUGGCCACGCCGUUGACCCAGCUAACCAGGAAGAGAGCUUCAUUUGUUUAGAGCAAAGCAUGUAAGGAUAGUUUUUAGGACCUCAAGCAGAGGUUGAUUUCAACCCCGGUUCUCACCGUACCAGAUGGCUCUAGGAACUUCGUGAUCGAUAGUGAUGCUUCUAAGAAAGGUUUGGGUUGUGUGCUUAUGCAACAUGGUAGGGUGGUCGCCUAUGCCUCCCGCCAGUUGAAGAACCAUGAGUGCAACUAUCCUACCCACGACUUGGAAUUGGCAACGGUAGUGUUUGCCCUGAAGAUCUGGAGACACUACUUGUAUGGGGAAAAGAUCCAAGUGUUCACCGACCACAAGACUCUAAAAUACUUCUUCACCCAGAAAGAGUUAAACAUGAGGCAGCGCAGGUGGCUCGAGUUAGUAAAGGAUUAUGACUGCGAGAUCCUCUACCACCUAGGUAAGGCGAAUGUGGUAGCUAAUGCCCUCAGUCGAAAGGUAGCUCAUUCGGCCACCUUGAUCGCUAAGCAGGUUCAGUUAUGUAAAGACCUGGAACAAGCAGAGAUUGCGAUGGCAGUGAAGGAAGUCACUUUGCAGCUAGCCCAGUUGACAGUGCAACCAACCUUGAGGCAGCGGAUUAUUGAUGCACAGUAGGGUGAUCCCGAUCUGGUUCAGCAGUGUCGUCAGGUAGGGUCAGGUCAGGCAAGUGAAUUUUCAUUGUCAGUGGACAAGGGUCUUUUGUACCAGGGACGGUUAUGCGUCCCAACAGAUGAUGGCUUGAAAAGGGAACUAUUGGCGGAAGCUCAUAAAUCUCCAUUCUCGAUGCACCCAGGUAGUACCAAAAUGUACCAAGAUGUGAAACGGUAUUACUCGUGGCCCAAUAUGAAAAGGGAGAUAGCUGAUUAUGUCAGUAGAUGUUUAGUCUGUCAGCAGAUGAAGGCCCUGAGGCAGAAGAUAGCAGGCUUACUAUAACCAUUGGGAGAGCGUGGCUAUGGAUUUUAUUACGGGGUUGCACAGCGAAGGGUUUCUUGGUGAUUUGGGUUGUGAUAGACAGACUCACCAAGGUCGCACAUUUUAUACCAGGAAAGCCCACAUACGCGGUGAGUAAGUGGGCUCAGUUUUACAUGAAAUAGAUAGUAAGGUUGCAUGGUGUGCCAGUGUCAAUUGUGUCCGACAAUGACCCUCGUUUCACCUACAGUUUUUGGAAGAGCCUCCAGGCAGCUUUAGGGUCACGGUUGAACUUCAGUACAGUGUUUCACCCCCAAACUGAUGGGAAAAUAGAACGUUUAAAUCAGACAUUGGAGGACAUGUUGCACGCGUGUGCGUUGGAAUUCUCAGGGGGUUGGGACUCCCACUUACAUUUGGCAAAGUUUCCUUAUAAUAACAGCUAUCAGGCUACCAUUGGUAUGUCGCCGUUUGAAGCUCUUUAUGGCAAAGGAUGCAGGUCUCCUGUUUACUGGGGUGAGACUGGGGUGAGACUGGGGAGAGGAAACUAGUGGGGACUGAGUUAGUGGAGUUGACGAAUGAAGCCAUGCAGAAAAUCAGGGCCAGAAUGCUAGCAGCACAAAGUAGACGUAAAAGUUACGCAGAUGUUAGGCGAAAAGAUCUGGAGUUCGAAGCAGGUGACAAGGUGUUCCUGAAAGUGGCGCCGAUGAAGGGUAUCUUGAGAUUCGGGAAGAAAAAUAAGCUAAGUCCAUGUUUUAUAGGGCCAUUCGAGAUUUUGCAGCGGGUCGGUCCUGUGGCUUACCGUUUGGCCUUGCCACCGUCCCUCUCCGUGAUCCAUAAUGUAUUUCAUGUCUCCAUGUUGAGGAAGUAUUUAACGGACCCGUCGCAUAUGGUGGACUUUGAGACCUUGCAACUGAAUGAAAACUUGAGUUACAAGGAGAAGCCCACGCAAAUUAUGGCCAAGGAGGUGAAAGUUUUGGGCAGUAAAGAAGUGCCACUGGUGAAGGUUCUAUGGCAGAACAAUCAGUUUGAGGAAGCAACUUGGGAGUGAGAGGACGAGAUGAGGGCACUGCGUCCAGAGCUCUUCCAGGAUUAGAACUUUCGAGGAUGAAAGUUUAUUAAAGGGGGGAAGAGUGUAACGCCCAAAGUUUUAAAAAAAAAGAAAAAAAAAAAGGGAAAUGUUGGUUAUUUUUAGGAAGAGGGAAUUGGGGUUUUAAAAAUGGGGCCUUGGGAUGUAUGCAAAAUACAAAAAAAAAAAAAGGGUUUUCUUUUUUAUUUUCCUUCUUCUUCUUCUUCCUCCUCCAACUACCCCCCUUCUGCAGUCGUCAUUCGACCUCCGUGCCAGCUCUUCGCCAGUCGUUUCUCCAUUUGUCGAUAGUCGAAGCCGCCGUCGAGCGCACAUCAGAAGGCAGAUUCGUCCGCCGCUCGACCUGACGCAGAUCGCACGCCUCGUUCGUUCCAGCCGUAUGAGUUCCAGCCACGUCGAGCUCUCCUUUCGCCUCCGUUCGUCCGCCGCACGUCAGUGUUCCAUCGAUAGUCGAAGCCCAACGCACAUCAGAGCUCACCUCAUUCGUUUGCACGUCAGAACAGUGUCGGUUGUUGUCGAUUUGUGGUUGGUUUCGUCUGAUCCUACUGUUCGAGGUAAGUUCCGAUUCCCUUUUGGUAGCUCACUGUCUUUUGGGGUUCUUGGGCCUAAUUUGUGAUUGGUUUCAAGAACGUGCGGCGGUGAAGGAAGUUCUCGAGCGAAGUAAGGUCUCGUUUUUUAGACAGUGUGGUAUCUUGAGGUAAGAGUAAUGAUAGACUGGUGCAUGACAAGAGAGAUCCGUGACCUGGUCAUUAGGACGAUUCACUGCUUCUGCAUAUAGUAUUAUGUUCUAAAAACUGGUUUAGGAGUUAGGCCUUUUUUUUUCACUUUUAUGUAAAAUAUAUCAAUUUUAUUAUUUGACUAUUUAAUUUCAUUCAUUUUUUUUAGUAGGGUUUAGAGGUACCCCGAAUAGUAAAUUAUUUUAUUUUACUAUGCUCUAGUUUAUUUAUUAUUAUUUAAUUAUGUUUUCACAAAUUUGCUCGUUUGAACAUUAUUAAAUAAAAACUUGGCUCUUUAAUUUGAUGAUUUAAAAGAAAUUGUACGAUUAAGCCCAUGCAUGCAUGAAGUAGUGUCCUAGAUUGUAGUAGGAAACUAGGGUCGUUACAGUAUAUACUGAAUUUGUUGUUAUAACUGUUUGUAUACUAAGUUAUAUAUGAUAUAGAAGUUUUUUUAAAUAAUCAUUAUGCAUUUAUGAUUUAUUAUGUAUUGCAUUUUAUAGGUACUCUUACUGUUCCAAUUUUAUAUGACGAUUGUUUCAAUGAGAGAGAUAAUUACAUUAAUUACGAAGUAGCUGAAAUAGAUUUUCAUCAUCAAAUGUCGUUUGUUGAGUUUCAACAAUUAGUGUCGAUAAGAUAAGUAGUGUAGGCAAUUUUGGUAACGUUGAGAUUUUUGUGUGCAUGGAUCAAAGGAUUUUAUGAAGAAGGAUUUGAAACUUAGAAAAGAUAAUGACGUUAGAUGGUUGCUCUACCUAGUUUCCAGCAAUGUCGAAAAAUUUUGAUCAUUGAUUGUUAUUUUUUCAAAUAACCUAUCAAUAGUCUUGGAUAAUAUAUUUCCCAAUGAAGCUAUGAGUAAUAUUAAUCAUGAUGAAGGUCGUUAUUAUGAAACAAUUGAUUUAUCGAAGAUUUUCCCUAAUUUCCAAGUUAAGAUUUGGCUUGCUCGAGAAGCUAGAUUGGACAUGGAUUGGACAUAACUUACCAAAAGGCUUGGCGUGCUCGAAAAGCUAUUGUGAAUGAAAUUCGAUGAUCACCUGAAGAAUCUUUCAAGAUGAUUUCAACAUUUUCUUUUCAGUUGAUUGUGAGAAACCCUGGUAUAUUCUUAAUAUGUUGUAGUUGUUUUUAUAUGGUCCAUUAUUUG
Molecule: non-coding RNA, 6795 nt
Organism: Benincasa hispida (wax gourd)
Lineage: Eukaryota; Viridiplantae; Streptophyta; Magnoliopsida; Cucurbitales; Cucurbitaceae
Source: RefSeq, a predicted model, not a curated record